UCACCUUUUCUUGCCCAUCCCGCCUAUAUACCGCCGUCCUCCCAGUCCUACCCUGUAAAGGACCCAUAGUAGGCGAAAUUCGGUACAGCCCCAGACGACAGGUCGAGGUGUAGCGUAUGAAAAGGGAAGAGAUGGGCUACAUUCAAUGAAACACUGAAUACGGAGAGCUAAUUGAAAUAUUAACUUGAAGGAGGAUUUAGCAGUAAGUGGAGAAUAGAGAGCCCCACUGAAAUCGGCCCUGAAGCGUGUACACACCGCCCGUCACUCUCCCCGAGCAGAGAAACUCUUUACCUAAAAAGCCAGAAAAUGUAAAGGGGAGGCAAGUCGUAACAUGGUAAGUGUACCGGAAGGUGCACUUGGCUAAAAAUAC
RNAcentral lists this ribosomal RNA (370 nucleotides) under Scarus niger (dusky parrotfish). RNAcentral describes it as "partial 12S ribosomal RNA". It matches the Rfam family "Bacterial small subunit ribosomal RNA", at positions 966 to 1533 of the family's 1533-position model. Lineage: Eukaryota; Metazoa; Chordata; Actinopteri; Labriformes; Labridae. The record is from RNAcentral.